UUGGGAAAGCUCCCACAACUGUAAAUGAAGUCUCGUCCAACCACACCAUUGUGCGUCCAAGCUAUGUCCUUGGCUCGCAAACCCAUCAACUUGGUCGCCCAAUUCACAGUAUGGUCAAGAAGAACAAAAUCAAAGGCACCUCUGGAAGGCAAAUACCCCAUGAACCAUCUGUACAACAGUUGAGCACAACAUCUGAUCAAACCACCACGCCGCUUCUCGUUCCGAUUAUGGACCGAGUAAUAGACAUCCCCAACCAAGGUAGGAAUAGGAUUCCUC
This 276-nucleotide long non-coding RNA is filed under the name Lathyrus oleraceus (garden pea). RNAcentral's name for it is "Pisum sativum (pea) long non-coding RNA (PSAT_LNC026634)". The record is from RNAcentral. Lineage: Eukaryota; Viridiplantae; Streptophyta; Magnoliopsida; Fabales; Fabaceae.